UGCUGAGGAGUCCCAUACCAGGACGAAACGGCCGUCCAGUAC
Molecule: non-coding RNA, 42 nt
Filed under: Schistosoma margrebowiei
Lineage: Eukaryota; Metazoa; Platyhelminthes; Trematoda; Strigeidida; Schistosomatidae
Source: RNAcentral